UACAGAGGUCCCGAGCGUUGUUCGGAUUCAUUGGGCGUAAAGGGUGCGUAGGCGGCGGGGCAAGCCUGAUGUGAAAUCCCGGGGCUCAACCCCGGAACUGCAUUGGAUACUGCCUUGCUAGAGUACUGGAGAGGGAACUGGAAUUUACGGUGUAGCAGUGAAAUGCGUAGAGAUCGUAAGGAAGGCCAGUGGCGAAGGCGAGUUCCUGGACAGUUACUGACGCUGAGGCACGAAGGCCAGGGGAGCAAACGGG
RNAcentral lists this ribosomal RNA (253 nucleotides) under uncultured bacterium. RNAcentral describes it as "partial 16S ribosomal RNA". It matches the Rfam family "Bacterial small subunit ribosomal RNA", at positions 524 to 776 of the family's 1533-position model. The record is from RNAcentral.